RNAcentral lists this ribosomal RNA (497 nucleotides) under uncultured bacterium. RNAcentral's name for it is "partial 16S ribosomal RNA". It matches the Rfam family "Bacterial small subunit ribosomal RNA", at positions 28 to 507 of the family's 1533-position model. The record is from RNAcentral.
GAUGAACGCUGGCGGCGUGCCUAACACAUGCAAGUCGAGCGAACGGACGAGAAUCUUGCUUUUCUGAUGUUAGCGGCGGACGGGUGAGUAACACGUGGAUAACCUACCUAUAAGACUUGGAUAACUUCGGGAAACCGGAGCUAAUACCGGAUAAUAUUUUGAACCGCAUGGUUCAAAAGUUAAAUCCGGUCUUGCUGUCACUUAUAGAUGGAUCCGCGCUGCAUUAGUUAGUUGGUAAGGUAACGGCUUACCAAGGCAACGAUGCAUAGCCGACCUGAGAGGGUGAUCGGCCACACUGGAACUGAGACACGGUCCAGACUCCUACGGGAGGCAGCAGUAGGGAAUCUGGCGCAAUGGGCGAAAGCCUGACGGAGCGAGGCAGCGUGAGUGAUGAAGGUCUUCGGAUCGUAAAACGCUGUUAUUAGGGAAGAACAUAUGUGUAGGUAACUGGGCACAUCUUGACGGUACCUAAUCAGAAAGCCACGGCUAACUACGUG